RNAcentral lists this long non-coding RNA (495 nucleotides) under Lathyrus oleraceus (garden pea). RNAcentral's name for it is "Pisum sativum (pea) long non-coding RNA (PSAT_LNC020301)". The record is from RNAcentral. Lineage: Eukaryota; Viridiplantae; Streptophyta; Magnoliopsida; Fabales; Fabaceae.
CAAUUUUGACCCUAAGAUCCCUCAUGGCAUCAUAACAUUGCAUUUGCAUAGCCUCAAGGAUCAUGAGCAUCUUGGUUCCCUUUGCCUUUGGGUGGGACUCCUUGUGAUUAGUUUGAGUUCAAGGAUCAUGAGCAUCUUGGUUCCCUUUGCCUUUGGGUGGGACUCCUUGUGAUUAGUUUGAGAUCACCAAGCAUGCUUGAAUUAUACAUCAUUGUUUCUCUUACUUUUGUUUACUAAAAAAAAAGCGAAAUAAAUAAAUAAAUAAAUAAAAUAUAACAAAAAAAAAUUGGACUUGGGCCUCUCUCAUUUGAGCCCACAGGUCCACAAAAACCAGGUUAUAAAUUCAGAGUUUCAGUGAAACAAAAAGAGGCCAUUCCUAUUACCCUGGCAGGAAAAAGAAAGUGAGAGAAGAGCUGACAGAGUUCAGAGCAACCUCCGGAGGCAAACCCUCAGAUUGCUCUGCAAACCUCAUGGGUGCAACUCAAUUUCAAUCAA